UUGAAGAGUUUGAUCAUGGCUCAGAUUGAACGCUGGCGGCAGGCCUAACACAUGCAAGUCGAACGGUAACAGGAAGCAGCUUGCUGCUUCGCUGACGAGUGGCGGACGGGUGAGUAAUGUCUGGGAAGCUGCCUGAUGGAGGGGGAUAACUACUGGAAACGGUAGCUAAUACCGCAUAAUGUCGCAAGACCAAAGAGGGGGACCUUCGGGCCUCUUGCCAUCGGAUGUGCCCAGAUGGGAUUAGCUUGUUGGUGGGGUAACGGCUCACCAAGGCGACGAUCCCUAGCUGGUCUGAGAGGAUGACCAGCCACACUGGAACUGAGACACGGUCCAGACUCCUACGGGAGGCAGCAGUGGGGAAUAUUGCACAAUGGGCGCAAGCCUGAUGCAGCCAUGCCGCGUGUAUGAAGAAGGCCUUCGGGUUGUAAAGUACUUUCAGCGGGGAGGAAGGGAGUAAAGUUAAUACCUUUGCUCAUUGACGUUACCCGCAGAAGAAGCACCGGCUAACUCCGUGCCAGCAGCCGCGGUAAUACGGAGGGUGCAAGCGUUAAUCGGAAUUACUGGGCGUAAAGCGCACGCAGGCGGUUUGUUAAGUCAGAUGUGAAAUCCCCGGGCUCAACCUGGGAACUGCAUCUGAUACUGGCAAGCUUGAGUCUCGUAGAGGGGGGUAGAAUUCCAGGUGUAGCGGUGAAAUGCGUAGAGAUCUGGAGGAAUACCGGUGGCGAAGGCGGCCCCCUGGACGAAGACUGACGCUCAGGUGCGAAAGCGUGGGGAGCAAACAGGAUUAGAUACCCUGGUAGUCCACGCCGUAAACGAUGUCGACUUGGAGGUUGUGCCCUUGAGGCGUGGCUUCCGGAGCUAACGCGUUAAGUCGACCGCCUGGGGAGUACGGCCGCAAGGUUAAAACUCAAAUGAAUUGACGGGGGCCCGCACAAGCGGUGGAGCAUGUGGUUUAAUUCGAUGCAACGCGAAGAACCUUACCUGGUCUUGACAUCCACGGAAGUUUUCAGAGAUGAGAAUGUGCCUUCGGGAACCGUGAGACAGGUGCUGCAUGGCUGUCGUCAGCUCGUGUUGUGAAAUGUUGGGUUAAGUCCCGCAACGAGCGCAACCCUUAUCCUUUGUUGCCAGCGGUCCGGCCGGGAACUCAAAGGAGACUGCCAGUGAUAAACUGGAGGAAGGUGGGGAUGACGUCAAGUCAUCAUGGCCCUUACGACCAGGGCUACACACGUGCUACAAUGGCGCAUACAAAGAGAAGCGACCUCGCGAGAGCAAGCGGACCUCAUAAAGUGCGUCGUAGUCCGGAUUGGAGUCUGCAACUCGACUCCAUGAAGUCGGAAUCGCUAGUAAUCGUGGAUCAGAAUGCCACGGUGAAUACGUUCCCGGGCCUUGUACACACCGCCCGUCACACCAUGGGAGUGGGUUGCAAAAGAAGUAGGUAGCUUAACCUUCGGGAGGGCGCUUACCACUUUGUGAUUCAUGACUGGGGUGAAGUCGUAACAAGGUAACCGUAGGGGAACCUGCGGUUGGAUCACCUCCUU
Molecule: ribosomal RNA, 1538 nt
Filed under: Escherichia coli
Lineage: Bacteria; Pseudomonadati; Pseudomonadota; Gammaproteobacteria; Enterobacterales; Enterobacteriaceae
Also listed under: 1 other name
Description: bacterial SSU rRNA
Rfam family: Bacterial small subunit ribosomal RNA
Source: RNAcentral